GAUAAACGCUGGCGGCGUGCCUAACACAUGCAAGUCGAACGCUCUGCGCAAGCAGGGAGUGGCGGACGGGUGAGUAACACGUGGGAAUCUGCCCCGAAGUGAGGAAUACCGGCGAGAAAUCGCCGACAAUACCGCAUACGUUUCGCAAGAAACAAAGCUCGCAAGGGCGCUUUGGGAUGAUCCUGCGGCUGAUUAGCUAGUUGGUGAGGUAACAGCCCACCAAGGCGACGAUCAGUAGCUGGUCUGAGAGGACGAUCAGCCACACUGGGAUUGAGAA
This 277-nucleotide ribosomal RNA is filed under the name uncultured bacterium. RNAcentral's name for it is "partial 16S ribosomal RNA". It matches the Rfam family "Bacterial small subunit ribosomal RNA", at positions 28 to 325 of the family's 1533-position model. The record is from RNAcentral.